AUGGCUCCCAUGCUCAAGCGUAUUGUGGAGGACGAGCCGAAGAAGGCAGCAUACGUGACCUUCCUCGCCGGCGCCGGCGACUACUGGAAGGGCGUGGUGGGUCUUGCCAAGGGCUUUAACACCGUCAAGUCGGCUUACCCGCUCGUGCUGGCCGUACUCCCCGACGUCCCGGGGGAUCACCGCAAGAAGCUGCUUGACCGGGGCUGCCUCGUCCGGGAGAUCGUGCCCGUGUACCCGCCGGAGAGCCACACCCAGUUCUCCAUGGCCUGCUACGUCAUCAUCUACUCCAAGCUCCGAAUCUGGGAGUUCGUGGAGUACGAGAGGAUGGUGUACCUGGACGCGGACAUCCAGGUGUACGACAACAUCGACCACCUGUUCGACCUUGAGAAGGGCCGCUUCUACGCCGUCAAGGACUGCUUCUGCGAGAAGACGUGGAGCCACACGCCGCAGUACGAGAUCGGCUACUGCCAGCAGUGCCCGGACAGGGUGGCCUGGCUGGAGCCCGACCUCGGCAUGCCCCCGCCGCCGCUCUACUUCAACGCCGGCAUGUUCAUACACGAGCCCAGCAUGGCCACCGCCAAGGCCCUACUCGACAAGCUCGUCGCCACCUAUCUCACCCUCUUUGCCGAGCAGGACUUUCUCAACAUGUUCUUCAGGGACGUGUACUGGCCCAUGCUGCGGAGGCACCCCGAGAACAUCCAGCUCCAGAAGGUCAAGGUCGUCCACUACUGCGCAGCGCGAUCGAAGCCGUGGAGGUACACUGGCGAGGAGGCCAACAUGGAUAGGGAGGACAUCAAGAUGCUUGUGAAGAAAUGGUGGGCUAUCUACAACGACAAGAGCCUGAACUACAAGCCUCCCGCUAACCAGGCCAACGAUCCGCUCUGUGCUGCCCUCGCCUCAUCAGUCGACUCAGUCAGUUGA
Molecule: ribosomal RNA, 921 nt
Filed under: Triticum aestivum (bread wheat)
Lineage: Eukaryota; Viridiplantae; Streptophyta; Magnoliopsida; Poales; Poaceae
Description: partial small subunit ribosomal RNA
Source: RNAcentral